This 71-nucleotide transfer RNA is filed under the name chicken gut metagenome. It matches the Rfam family "tRNA". Rfam says of the family: Transfer RNA (tRNA) molecules are approximately 80 nucleotides in length. Their secondary structure includes four short double-helical elements and three loops (D, anti-codon, and T loops). Further hydrogen bonds mediate the characteristic L-shaped molecular structure. tRNAs have two regions of fundamental functional importance: the anti-codon, which is responsible for specific mRNA codon recognition, and the 3' end, to which the tRNAs corresponding amino acid is attached (by aminoacyl-tRNA synthetases). tRNAs cope with the degeneracy of the genetic code in two manners: having more than one tRNA (with a specific anti-codon) for a particular amino acid; and 'wobble' base-pairing, i.e. permitting non-standard base-pairing at the 3rd anti-codon position. The record is from RNAcentral.
ACGUUUAGCUCAGUUGGUUAGAGCACCUGCCUUACAAGCAGGGGGUCACAAGUUCGAGUCUUGUAACGUCC